Molecule: long non-coding RNA, 914 nt
Organism: Erpetoichthys calabaricus (reedfish)
Lineage: Eukaryota; Metazoa; Chordata; Cladistia; Polypteriformes; Polypteridae
Exons: 3
Source: RefSeq, a predicted model, not a curated record
UGGGUUACUCGGUUGUCCUGACCCACAUGUGUUGUGUUGUAACCCUUUGGUGUGGGAGGAUAAAUUGUAUUGCUUGUGCUCAGCUCCAGGUGUUGAUAAACAUUUUUUUAGUAGCCAUGCUUUCCUUGUAGAGGUAGGGGAGUCUUUAAGCAUUUUUGGAAGAUAAGGGUGCAGAGCACAACAGUCUGACAUACAGUGUUAUGCUCCUGAGGCUACCUAGCAUCCAAUGAAUCCUUGGGAGCAUGGGAGACGUUGUACAGCAACCACUUUUGGAAAGGCAUUGAACUUCUUCAUUGGAUUCAGAGUUUAACUGGAGACUCUUCAUCAAUGCUGGUAUGCAGGAGUGGGUGCCCUGUGAUAGGCUAGAAAUGGCUCAGAACAGUCUUUCAUCCUGUGCAGUUACUGUAUGCCCCAGCUCUUUGAGACACUAAACUAGAUGAAGCAGGUUAGAACAAAAGGAAGAAAAAUAAAUAUGCGCUGACGGAUUCCAAAGGUGGCCACCAAAAACGUCAUGUCCGUCAAACCCAGAUGACAUUUUUUCUGGCCUCUUCACAUGACAUCAAUUCUGGCUCCUUGAGAUGACAUUGUUACCAGUUCCACAUCACUUCCAGUCCGUCUUUGAUGAUGUUGCAUCUGUCCCAUAGCUUCGACGUCAUCUCCUGCCAACUCACCUCCCGUCUCCAUUUUGUUUUGUCCAUAUAUAAACGCCAUGUUUGCAUGUAAUGAUUGCCAAACAUGAUUUAUGUUUUUGAUCAUAAACAAAGUGUACAUCUGUUUCUUUGUCCUAUGGACAUUAUACGGGGAUGGUCCCCAAAACUUUGUAUUUGUGGAAGCCUCUUAUUUGGAAAAUAGACUUAUCACACCUUGCAGUUUCAAUUUAUGCAAUUAUUCUCAGCAGUAAAGACUCAAAAGAA